Molecule: non-coding RNA, 74 nt
Organism: Tribolium madens (black flour beetle)
Lineage: Eukaryota; Metazoa; Arthropoda; Insecta; Coleoptera; Tenebrionidae
Source: the annotation of a RefSeq genome assembly
GGCUCGUUAGCUCAGGUGGUUAGAGCACCGCACUAAAACUGCGGAGGUCGUAGGUUCGAAUCCUACAUGAGCCC